CGGCGAGUGAAGCGGCAACAGCUCAAAUUUGAAAGCUGGCUCCUUUGGAGUCCGCGUUGUAAUUUGUAGAGGAUGAUUCGGCAAGGGCUCCCGCCUAAGUCUCCUGGAACGGAGCGUCAUAGAGGGUGAGAAUCCCGUAUGCGGUGGGCUGCCUAAGCCAUGUGAAUCUCCUUCGACGAGUCGAGUUGUUUGGGAAUGCAGCUCUAAAUGGGAGGUAAAUUUCUUCUAAAGCUAAAUACCGGCCAGAGACCGAUAGCGCACAAGUAGAGUGAUCGAAAGAUGAAAAGCACUUUGGAAAGAGAGUUAAAAAGUACGUGAAAUUGUUGAAAGGGAAGCGCUUGCAGCCAGACUUGUCCGCAGUUGCUCAGCCGGUCUCCUGACCGGUGUACUCUUCUGCGGCCAGGCCAGCAUCAGUUCGGGCGGUCGGAUAAAGACCUCGGGAAUGUAGCUCCUCUCGGGGAGUGUUAUAGCCCGGGGUGGAAUGCGGCCAGCCUGGACUGAGGAUCUCGCUUCGGCUAGGAUGCUGGCGUAAUGGCUGUAAGCGGCCCGUCUUGAAACACGGACCAAGGAGUCUAACAUCUAUGCGAGUGUUUGGGUGUCAAACCCAUGCGCGUAAUGAAAGUGAACGGAGGUGGGAACCCUCACGGGUGCACCAUCGACCGAUCCUGAUGUCUUCGGAUGGAUUUGAGUAAGAGCAUAGCUGUUGGGACCCGAAAGAUGGUGAACUAUGCCUGAAUAGGGUGAAGCCAGAGGAAACUCUGGUGGAGGCUCGCAGCGGUUCUGACGUGCAAAUCGAUCGUCAAAUUUGGGUAUAGGGGCGAAAGACUAA
This 829-nucleotide ribosomal RNA is filed under the name Botryosphaeria fusispora. Its description in RNAcentral is "eukaryotic LSU rRNA". It matches the Rfam family "Eukaryotic large subunit ribosomal RNA", at positions 87 to 934 of the family's 3401-position model. The record is from RNAcentral. Lineage: Eukaryota; Fungi; Ascomycota; Dothideomycetes; Botryosphaeriales; Botryosphaeriaceae.